GUCAAGAUGGCCGAGUUGGUCUAAGGCGCCAGUUUGGCAUGGGUUCGAAUCCCAUUCUUGACAUGAUUAAUUUUUUUUAUAGAACUUCAUUGGCAUGGCAUGGAUUUGAAUCCAUUCUAGACAUGUUUAGAAUCCUAUUCUUGACAUGAUUAUUUUUUUUAUACAAUUUCAUUGGCAUGGGUUCGAAUCCCAUUCUUGACA
This 201-nucleotide transfer RNA is filed under the name Oryza sativa Japonica Group (Japanese rice). RNAcentral describes it as "tRNA-Ala". The stretch from base 1 to 63 matches the Rfam family "tRNA". Lineage: Eukaryota; Viridiplantae; Streptophyta; Magnoliopsida; Poales; Poaceae. The record is from RNAcentral.